RNAcentral lists this ribosomal RNA (403 nucleotides) under uncultured bacterium. RNAcentral describes it as "partial 16S ribosomal RNA". It matches the Rfam family "Bacterial small subunit ribosomal RNA", at positions 28 to 526 of the family's 1533-position model. The record is from RNAcentral.
GACGAACGCUGGCGGCGUGCCUAAUACAUGCAAGUCGAACGCAGUGGGGACGGGUGAGUAACACGUGGGUAACCUCCCAUCAGAGGGGAUAACACUUGGAAACAGGUGCUAAACCGAUACUGAUGGAUGGACCCGCGGUGCAUUAGCUAGUUGGUGAGUUAACGGCUCACCAAGGCCACGAUGCAUAGCCGACCUGAGGGGUGGAGCGGCACAAAUGGGACCAGUACACGGCCCAGACUCCUACGGGAGUCAGCAGGAGGGAAUCUUCGGAAAUGGACGAAAGUCUGACCGAGCAACUCCGCGUGAGUGAAGAAGGUUUUCGGAUCGUAAAACUCUGUUGUUAGAGAAGCGGUAUCUAACCAGAAAGCCACGGCUAACUACGUGCCAGCCGCCGCGGUAAUUC